GGAUAAUUAGCUCAGUUGGUAGAGCAGCUGACUCUUAAUCAGCGGGUCGCAGGUUCGAUUCCUGCAUUAUCCA
Molecule: transfer RNA, 73 nt
Filed under: Candidatus Fibrimonadaceae bacterium
Lineage: Bacteria; Pseudomonadati; Fibrobacterota; Fibrobacteria; Candidatus Fibrimonadales; Candidatus Fibrimonadaceae
Description: tRNA-Lys
Rfam family: tRNA
About the family: Transfer RNA (tRNA) molecules are approximately 80 nucleotides in length.
Source: RNAcentral